UGCCUGGAGGUCCAGUGUUAAGACUCUGCACUUCCAAUGCAGAGGGUGUGGGUUCGAGCCCUGGUCAGGGAA
RNAcentral lists this transfer RNA (72 nucleotides) under Bos taurus (domestic cattle). It matches the Rfam family "tRNA". Rfam says of the family: Transfer RNA (tRNA) molecules are approximately 80 nucleotides in length. Their secondary structure includes four short double-helical elements and three loops (D, anti-codon, and T loops). Lineage: Eukaryota; Metazoa; Chordata; Mammalia; Artiodactyla; Bovidae. RNAcentral also lists the same sequence under 3 other names. The record is from Rfam by way of RNAcentral.